AACGAACGCUGGCGGCAGGCUUAACACAUGCAAGUCGAACGGUCUCUUCGGAGGCAGUGGCAGACGGGUGAGUAAUGCAUGGGAAUCUACCGUUCUCUACGGAAUAACUCAGGGAAACUUGUGCUAAUACCGUAUACGCCCUUUUGGGGAAAGAUUUAUCGGAGAAUGAUGAGCCCAUGUUGGAUUAGCUAGUUGGUAGGGUAAAGGCCUACCAAGGCGACGAUCCAUAGCUGGUCUGAGAGGAUGAUCAGCCACACUGGGACUGAGACACGGCCCAGACUCCUACGGGAGGCAGCAGUGGGGAAUAUUGGACAAUGGGCGCAAGCCUGAUCCAGCCAUGCCGCGUGAGUGAUGAAGGCCCUAGGGUUGUAAAGCUCUUUCACCGGUGAAGAUAAUGACGGUAACCGGAGAAGAAGCCCCGGCUAACUUCGUGCCAGCAGCCGCGGUAAUACGAAGGGGGCUAGCGUUGUUCGGAUUUACUGGGCGUAAAGCGCACGUAGGCGGACUUUUAAGUCAGGGGUGAAAUCCCGGGGCUCAACCCCGGAACUGCCUUUGAUACUGGAAGUCUUGAGUAUGGAAGAGGUAAGUGGAAUUGCGAGUGUAGAGGUGAAAUUCGUAGAUAUUCGCAGGAACACCAG
Molecule: ribosomal RNA, 638 nt
Filed under: uncultured bacterium
Lineage: Bacteria
Description: bacterial SSU rRNA
Rfam family: Bacterial small subunit ribosomal RNA
Source: RNAcentral